CUCAGGUGGACGUUAGAGGAACUGCAGUUACAGUUUACACUUUGCAGCCACAGAGGUUUCUUCUUGCUUCAAAUCCCACCAGGAGCAUUUUAUUUUUACCUGCCAGACUUUAACUCCGCUGACCGUGGUGCAACAAUUUCAUAUUUUUCAUAUCUCGAACAGUUCGGCUCGUAGCGUGUUUCUGUAGCCUCUGUUUGUUUCUCUCCUGCUGUGCUGUAUUCUCUUUUUCAAUCAACCUCCUCCCUCUCGUCUUUUUAAAUCCUCGCUAAAAAAGUGCCACGCCCUUUCACCUCUUGUACUCACGCCCCAGAAAAGAAAAGAGAGAAGAGAGGGACAAGCACAAAGACGGCAGGAGAGCGACUGAAUGUCGGAGGGGAAGAAAGAAAGAAAAAGAGCUCGAGCUCUGCAGCAGCCGGGCACAUCUCGGCGAUGAGGUGUGAGGAUUAGCUGUAUCUGAAGCAACGCCCCCGCUAUGCUCUCCAAAUGAGUAUUAUCUCCCUCACCACCACCACCACCCUCCCCACGCUGGCACAAAAGCCAACAGCUCGUACAAUGCCAUGUUGUCAGGGCUGAGAGGAGGAGGAGGAGGGAGUCCAACAGGCUUCGCUUCAUUAUCUGUAGCAGGUGGCGGGCAGCCGUGAGGGGAAAAAAUAGGCGGCUAUUUGGAAGGGGAGGGAGACAGAAAGAGAGAGAGAGAGAGAGAGAGAGAGAGGACGACUCUGCAUCUCACUCUCUCUCUCAUUCGGUCUAACACUCUCCGUCGCUCACUCCUCCAGUCCUUCAGUCGCCCGAGGGACGCUCGCACAAAGACCAGACUGUACCGACCAGGAGAAGCUCUGAAGCUCUGAAGCUCUACGCCGCAGGUUGCUGUCCAGGAUGGCGGGGAUGAAGGAGCAGCAGUUCACGGAGGAAAGCCCCUGCUGCCGGAGCAGCGAG
Molecule: long non-coding RNA, 936 nt
Organism: Larimichthys crocea (large yellow croaker)
Lineage: Eukaryota; Metazoa; Chordata; Actinopteri; Sciaenidae
Exons: 3
Source: RefSeq, a predicted model, not a curated record